RNAcentral lists this ribosomal RNA (301 nucleotides) under uncultured bacterium. RNAcentral describes it as "partial 16S ribosomal RNA". It matches the Rfam family "Bacterial small subunit ribosomal RNA", at positions 509 to 808 of the family's 1533-position model. The record is from RNAcentral.
CAGCAGCCGCGGUAACACGUAGGGGGCAAGCGUUAUCCGGAUUCAUUGGGCGUAAAGCGCUCGUAGGCGGUCUGUUAGGUCGGGAGUUAAAUCCGGAGGCUCAACCUCCGUUCGCUCCCGAUACCGGCAGACUUGAGUUUGGUAGGGGAAGGUGGAAUUCCUAGUGUAGCGGUGGAAUGCGCAGAUAUUAGGAAGAACACCAGUGGCGAAGGCGGCCUUCUGGGCCAUAACUGACGCUGAGGAGCGAAAGCUAGGGGAGCAAACAGGAUUAGAUACCCGCGUAGUCCCUGUCUCUUAUACC